CAAGUUACUUAGCUUCUCUGGUCCUCAGUCUUCUCCGAUCUAAAAGAAAGAUGUCACCCUCUGUUUUGCAGUCCUGUGGGAGACCUGGCUGAGCCAUGGUGUCAAAGCAUUCUGCAUGGAGCCUGGCCAUUGGCAGAGGUUCUAUAAAUGCAUGGUUUUUUUUUUUUUUCUUUCCUUCCAUUUGGGUUUCCCGCUGGACGACCAAAUGCAGAUGACCCCCUGAACAUGCCAGGCCUUGCUCCUGACCGGCUUUAUUACCUUUAAGAAAGGUAACAAAGACACCUUUGUUAAGGUACAAAAGGAGGUGGGCCAGUUGGGGGGCUGCUUCACCCUGACUGGCACCCUCAGCCUGCAGGGCCUUUCUCAGUAACUCACCAGGCAUUCAGGACCUAAGGCCAGAAUCUGCGGAAUCCAGCCCAGCCAAGGCCUGCAGACUCCUCUCCUGGGUCCAGAGGGCCUGCAAGUAAGAAUUUGGUCCAAGGCUUCACCCCAGGCCAAUGCCUCUGCAUGUCCACUCCCACGGGCCGCCCAUUCCAAUCCCUUUGGGCUGCUAGAAGUUCUUCCUUCUGUUGACCUUCAUCAGUUUCCCUGGAGCUUCUGCUACUGGUUCCUUCCCUGGGGUAUGGCAGAGGAAGUCGGCAUCUCAGGAGUCAGAAGACAGUGAGCACCUCCCCGGACUCUGAGACUAAAUGCAGCUUGAGGUUUCAGGAUCCCACAUGGGGAGACAGGUAGAGGCGGUGGCUGCAGAACAUGGCCGAUCCUGGAGUCCCGGCGAGACUGGAGAAACAACUGCUGCUCUGCUGUCCUCCCCUCUCAUCAUCUGACUCACUCCUUUGACUGACACCCAUCCACAGGGACGCCUACACAAAGUGGUCACUCUGCAGUCGACGUAUCAUCCCAGCUACUGGUGGUCAUCGGGGACGCAGCUAUGUGUGUCUCCAUUUUGCAGAUGAGGACAUGGAGGCCUCAAGAGGUUAAGUGACUUGCUCAGCCAUACACAGCUGAUGGGAAUGAAACAGAUGGAAACGGAGACUCCCCAAGCUGACAGGCGGACUACAGAUCUGGGGGUUCUGCUCCAGGCUCAACACAAGUGGCCUGGGCGAGGGAGGGCCUGGUAGACCAUGACACCCAGCAUCGAGGAAUUCUGCUUCCCCAGCAGGCUCAGAAGGAAGAAGUCUGCUUCAGGGGCCAGGCCUGGUCAAAGACUCCAUCUUCCCUGGAUGGCCAGAGUCAAAUCCUUGCAAAUCCCGUUCACCAUGGAGCAGAGACGAGACCUAUGUUACCCAGGCUGUAUGUGAAUUCCUGGACUCAAGCAAUCCUCCCAUCUCAGCCUCGUGAGUAGUUGGGACAAGUCUCACACCACCAUACCCAGCUUAAUUUAAUUUGAAUUUUAAUAGCUGCA
Molecule: long non-coding RNA, 1402 nt
Organism: Pan troglodytes (chimpanzee)
Lineage: Eukaryota; Metazoa; Chordata; Mammalia; Primates; Hominidae
Exons: 2
Source: RefSeq, a predicted model, not a curated record